This is a long non-coding RNA of Armigeres subalbatus, 442 nucleotides long. RefSeq lists it as uncharacterized. The record is from RefSeq and is a predicted model, not a curated record. NCBI's taxonomy places the organism in Eukaryota, Metazoa, Arthropoda, Insecta, Diptera, Culicidae. The transcript is spliced from 2 exons.
GAACAUGUCUGUCAGUGAUCAUAUGUCGAAUAACCCAAAUGAUCGUAAGGUAGGCGAACAAUCAUGCCGAGAAAUUGGAGCUGCAGAGAAAAUUCGUCUUGAACCGGAAAAAGUGGAAUAUAUUGAAAUGCGUUUUGCCGAACAUCGUCGUUAUCAAGGAGAUUCGUCUGGUGUGGCGGGAAUAAAAAUGAAGGAUUGUCGUUCUCUAAUGGCUCGAGUUAUUUCAUAUUACGGCAACAAGUAAUUUGAUCGCGUCAUGUCAUAUUUUAAUUGAUUCUGAAUUUCAAAGAAAUUUUAAUUUGUUUUAAUUUGUCAAUCGCGAUAUUUUAGUCUGAGACGUGAUGAGCUGAUUUACUUCCAUUCAAAUCUAACAUUUUAAUGUUUUUCUGGCAUUUGAACCUGUUUUAAUUGUUUUUUAACAAAUAAACUUCAUAAAAACGAA